Non-coding RNA from Podarcis muralis (Common wall lizard), 368 nucleotides. The record is from RefSeq and is a predicted model, not a curated record. NCBI's taxonomy places the organism in Eukaryota, Metazoa, Chordata, Lepidosauria, Squamata, Lacertidae.
CUGGUCACUGUUUUGAAGGGGAGUGAAGAACACACCCUCAAAAAAAGAAUAAAUGACGCUCCCAAUUCAUCGGAUGAUGACCUGGGCCACAAAGAGGGAACCAGGCAGAGGGCCUUCUUGUGGUGGCGCCCUCCCAGCCGAUGUCAAGGAAAGAAACGACUACCUGACUUUUAGAAGACACCUGAAGAUCCUGUAAGACAGGCGCCGACACGGACCACAGCUGCGAACCGUGAGGCAGAUGUACUGAUACAGUUUGUCUUCCGCGACUGAGGGAAGUGAUGGAGGAUGUAAUGAAGGUGAUUAAUACUAAGGAAGUUGAGGAAGGAGCCACAUUCCACAAUGUCUGCAGAAUUCUCACAAAAAGUGGG